GACAGAGGGUGCAAACGUUGUUCGGAAUUACUGGGCGUAAAGCGUGUGUAGGCGGUCCACUAAGUCGGGUGUGAAAGCCCUGGGCUCAACCCAGGAAGUGCACUCGAAACUGGCGGGCUAGAGUAUCGGAGAGGUUGGUGGAAUUCUCGGUGUAGAGGUGAAAUUCGUAGAUAUGGGGAGGAACACCGGUGGCGAAGGCGACCAUCUGGACGGAUACUGACGCUGAGACGCGAAAGCGUGGGUAGCAAACAGG
RNAcentral lists this ribosomal RNA (253 nucleotides) under uncultured bacterium. Its description in RNAcentral is "partial 16S ribosomal RNA". It matches the Rfam family "Bacterial small subunit ribosomal RNA", at positions 524 to 776 of the family's 1533-position model. The record is from RNAcentral.